Molecule: ribosomal RNA, 490 nt
Filed under: uncultured bacterium
Lineage: Bacteria
Description: partial 16S ribosomal RNA
Rfam family: Bacterial small subunit ribosomal RNA
Source: RNAcentral
AUUGAACGCUGGCGGCAUGCCUUACACAUGCAAGUCGAACGGCAUCGCGGGAAAGCUUGCUUUCCUGGCGGCGAGUGGCGAACGGGUGAGUAACACAUCGGAACGUACCGGCUAGUGGGGGAUAACCCGUCGAAAGACGGGCUAAUACCGCAUACGCUCUUCGGAGGAAAGCAGGGGACCUUUGGGCCUUGCGCUAGUCGAGCGGCCGAUGUCCGAUUAGCUAGUUGGUGGGGUAAAGGCCUACCAAGGCGACGAUCGAUAGCGGGUCUGAGAGGACGAUCCGCCACACUGGGACUGAGACACGGCCCAGACUCCUACGGGAGGCAGCAGUGGGGAAUCUUGGACAAUGGGGGCAACCCUGAUCCAGCAAUGCCGCGUGGGUGAAGAAGGCCUUCGGGUUGUAAAGCCCUUUCGGCAGGGAAGAAAUCGGCGGGGCGAAUAACCCUGCUGGAUGACGGUACCUGCAGAAGAAGCACCGGCUAACUACGUG